Molecule: ribosomal RNA, 1372 nt
Filed under: uncultured bacterium
Lineage: Bacteria
Description: bacterial SSU rRNA
Rfam family: Bacterial small subunit ribosomal RNA
Source: RNAcentral
GAUGAACGCUGGCGGCGUGCCUAAUACAUGCAAGUCGAGCGAACGGACGAGAAGCUUGCUUCUCUGAUGUUAGCGGCGGACGGGUGAGUAACACGUGGAUAACCUACCUAUAAGACUGGGAUAACUUCGGGAAACCGGAGCUAAUACCGGAUAAUAUUUUGAACCGCAUGGUUCAAAAGUGAAAGACGGUCUUGCUGUCACUUAUAGAUGGAUCCGCGCUGCAUUAGCUAGUUGGUAAGGUAACGGCUUACCAAGGCAACGAUGCAUAGCCGACCUGAGAGGGUGAUCGGCCACACUGGAACUGAGACACGGUCCAGACUCCUACGGGAGGCAGCAGUAGGGAAUCUUCCGCAAUGGGCGAAAGCCUGACGGAGCAACGCCGCGUGAGUGAUGAAGGUCUUCGGAUCGUAAAACUCUGUUAUUAGGGAAGAACAUAUGUGUAAGUAACUGUGCACAUCUUGACGGUACCUAAUCAGAAAGCCACGGCUAACUACGUGCCAGCAGCCGCGGUAAUACGUAGGUGGCAAGCGUUAUCCGGAAUUAUUGGGCGUAAAGCGCGCGUAGGCGGUUUUUUAAGUCUGAUGUGAAAGCCCACGGCUCAACCGUGGAGGGUCAUUGGAAACUGGAAAACUUGAGUGCAGAAGAGGAAAGUGGAAUUCCAUGUGUAGCGGUGAAAUGCGCAGAGAUAUGGAGGAACACCAGUGGCGAAGGCGACUUUCUGGUCUGUAACUGACGCUGAUGUGCGAAAGCGUGGGGAUCAAACAGGAUUAGAUACCCUGGUAGUCCACGCCGUAAACGAUGAGUGCUAAGUGUUAGGGGGUUUCCGCCCCUUAGUGCUGCAGCUAACGCAUUAAGCACUCCGCCAGGGGAGUACGACCGCAAGGUUGAAACUCAAAGGAAUUGACGGGGACCCGCACAAGCGGUGGAGCAUGUGGUUUAAUUCGAAGCAACGCGAAGAACCUUACCAAAUCUUGACAUCCUUUGACAACUCUAGAGAUAGAGCCUUCCCCUUCGGGGGGCAAAGUGACAGGUGGUGCAUGGUUGUCGUCAGCUCGUGUCGUGAGAUGUUGGGUUAAGUCCCGCAACGAGCGCAACCCUUAAGCUUAGUUGCCAUCAUUAAGUUGGGCACUCUAAGUUGACUGCCGGUGACAAACCGGAGGAAGGUGGGGAUGACGUCAAAUCAUCAUGCCCCUUAUGAUUUGGGCUACACACGUGCUACAAUGGACAAUACAAAGGGCAGCGAAACCGCGAGGUCAGGCAAAUCCCAUAAAGUUGUUCUCAGUUCGGAUUGUGGUCUGCAACUCGACUACAUGAAGCUGGAAUCGCUAGUAAUCGUAGAUCAGCAUGCUACGGUGAAUACGUUCCCGGGUCU